RNAcentral lists this ribosomal RNA (2900 nucleotides) under Shigella flexneri. RNAcentral's name for it is "23S ribosomal RNA". It matches the Rfam family "Bacterial large subunit ribosomal RNA". Lineage: Bacteria; Pseudomonadati; Pseudomonadota; Gammaproteobacteria; Enterobacterales; Enterobacteriaceae. The record is from RNAcentral.
GGUUAAGCGACUAAGCGUACACGGUGGAUGCCCUGGCAGUCAGAGGCGAUGAAGGACGUGCUAAUCUGCGAUAAGCGUCGGUAAGGUGAUAUGAACCGUUAUAACCGGCGAUUUCCGAAUGGGGAAACCCAGUGUGAUUCGUCACACUAUCAUUAACUGAAUCCAUAGGUUAAUGAGGCGAACCGGGGAACUGAAACAUCUAAGUACCCCGAGGAAAAGAAAUCAACCGAGAUUCCCCCAGUAGCGGCGAGCGAACGGGGAGCAGCCCAGAGCCUGAAUCAGUGUGUGUGUUAGUGGAAGCGUCUGGAAAGGCGUGCGAUACAGGGUGACAGCCCCGUACACAAAAAUGCACAUACUGUGAGCUCGAUGAGUAGGGCGGGACACGUGGUAUCCUGUCUGAAUAUGGGGGACCAUCCUCCAAGGCUAAAUACUCCUGACUGACCGAUAGUGAACCAGUACCGUGAGGGAAAGGCGAAAAGAACCCCGGCGAGGGGAGUGAAAAAGAACCUGAAACCGUGUACGUACAAGCAGUGGGAGCACGCUUAGGCGUGUGACUGCGUACCUUUUGUAUAAUGGGUCAGCGACUUAUAUUCUGUAGCAAGGUUAACCGAAUAGGGGAGCCGAAGGGAAACCGAGUCUUAACUGGGCGUUAAGUUGCAGGGUAUAGACCCGAAACCCGGUGAUCUAGCCAUGGGCAGGUUGAAGGUUGGGUAACACUAACUGGAGGACCGAACCGACUAAUGUUGAAAAAUUAGCGGAUGACUUGUGGCUGGGGGUGAAAGGCCAAUCAAACCGGGAGAUAGCUGGUUCUCCCCGAAAGCUAUUUAGGUAGCGCCUCGUGAAUUCAUCUCCGGGGGUAGAGCACUGUUUCGGCAAGGGGGUCAUCCCGACUUACCAACCCGAUGCAAACUGCGAAUACCGGAGAAUGUUAUCACGGGAGACACACGGCGGGUGCUAACGUCCGUCGUGAAGAGGGAAACAACCCAGACCGCCAGCUAAGGUCCCAAAGUCAUGGUUAAGUGGGAAACGAUGUGGGAAGGCCCAGACAGCCAGGAUGUUGGCUUAGAAGCAGCCAUCAUUUAAAGAAAGCGUAAUAGCUCACUGGUCGAGUCGGCCUGCGCGGAAGAUGUAACGGGGCUAAACCAUGCACCGAAGCUGCGGCAGCGACGCUUAUGCGUUGUUGGGUAGGGGAGCGUUCUGUAAGCCUGUGAAGGUGUGCUGUGAGGUAUGCUGGAGGUAUCAGAAGUGCGAAUGCUGACAUAAGUAACGAUAAAGCGGGUGAAAAGCCCGCUCGCCGGAAGACCAAGGGUUCCUGUCCAACGUUAAUCGGGGCAGGGUGAGUCGACCCCUAAGGCGAGGCCGAAAGGCGUAGUCGAUGGGAAACAGGUUAAUAUUCCUGUACUUGGUGUUACUGCGAAGGGGGACGGAGAAGGCUAUGUUGGCCGGGCGACGGUUGUCCCGGUUUAAGCGUGUAGGCUGGUUUUCCAGGCAAAUCCGGAAAAUCAAGGCCGAGGCGUGAUGACGAGGCACUACGGUGCUGAAGCAACAAAUGCCCUGCUUCCAGGAAAAGCCUCUAAGCAUCAGGUAACAUCAAAUCGUACCCCAAACCGACACAGGUGGUCAGGUAGAGAAUACCAAGGCGCUUGAGAGAACUCGGGUGAAGGAACUAGGCAAAAUGGUGCCGUAACUUCGGGAGAAGGCACGCUGAUACGUAGGUGAAGCGACUUGCUCGUGGAGCUGAAAUCAGUCGAAGAUACCAGCUGGCUGCAACUGUUUAUUAAAAACACAGCACUGUGCAAACACGAAAGUGGACGUAUACGGUGUGACGCCUGCCCGGUGCCGGAAGGUUAAUUGAUGGGGUUAGCGCAAGCGAAGCUCUUGAUCGAAGCCCCGGUAAACGGCGGCCGUAACUAUAACGGUCCUAAGGUAGCGAAAUUCCUUGUCGGGUAAGUUCCGACCUGCACGAAUGGCGUAAUGAUGGCCAGGCUGUCUCCACCCGAGACUCAGUGAAAUUGAACUCGCUGUGAAGAUGCAGUGUACCCGCGGCAAGACGGAAAGACCCCGUGAACCUUUACUAUAGCUUGACACUGAACAUUGAGCCUUGAUGUGUAGGAUAGGUGGGAGGCUUUGAAGUGUGGACGCCAGUCUGCAUGGAGCCGACCUUGAAAUACCACCCUUUAAUGUUUGAUGUUCUAACGUGGACCCGUGAUCCGGGUUGCGGACAGUGUCUGGUGGGUAGUUUGACUGGGGCGGUCUCCUCCUAAAGAGUAACGGAGGAGCACGAAGGUUGGCUAAUCCUGGUCGGACAUCAGGAGGUUAGUGCAAUGGCAUAAGCCAGCUUGACUGCGAGCGUGACGGCGCGAGCAGGUGCGAAAGCAGGUCAUAGUGAUCCGGUGGUUCUGAAUGGAAGGGCCAUCGCUCAACGGAUAAAAGGUACUCCGGGGAUAACAGGCUGAUACCGCCCAAGAGUUCAUAUCGACGGCGGUGUUUGGCACCUCGAUGUCGGCUCAUCACAUCCUGGGGCUGAAGUAGGUCCCAAGGGUAUGGCUGUUCGCCAUUUAAAGUGGUACGCGAGCUGGGUUUAGAACGUCGUGAGACAGUUCGGUCCCUAUCUGCCGUGGGCGCUGGAGAACUGAGGGGGCUGCUCCUAGUACGAGAGGACCGGAGUGGACGCAUCACUGGUGUUCGGGUUGUCAUGCCAAUGGCACUGCCCGGUAGCUAAAUGCGGAAGAGAUAAGUGCUGAAAGCAUCUAAGCACGAAACUUGCCCCGAGAUGAGUUCUCCCUGACCCUUUAAGGGUCCUGAAGGAACGUUGAAGACGACGACGUUGAUAGGCCGGGUGUGUAAGCGCAGCGAUGCGUUGAGCUAACCGGUACUAAUGAACCGUGAGGCUUAACCUU